Non-coding RNA from Pelobates cultripes (western spadefoot toad), 207 nucleotides. NCBI's taxonomy places the organism in Eukaryota, Metazoa, Chordata, Amphibia, Anura, Pelobatidae. The record is from the annotation of a GenBank genome assembly.
GUGGAUAGUAUCUGUCUCCUUGAACACUUCCUCUACUAUUCCCACCAUUCCCUCUAAAACUUCCUCUUCCUCUAUAACUACCACUAUAACCUCCUCAUACCCUUCUCUCUCCUUGUCUAUCACCUUCAUACUGCUCUCUCUGUGGACACUCACUCUUCCAAUGUCCCUCCUUUCUACAAUACGCACAUUAAUUCCUACUUAAAGUCC